GGGAAACAUCUGUAUGUGGAGAUGUUACCUGAUACAGUCUUCCUAUAGAAAAGUUCUGCAGUUUCCUGCUUGCAUAACUCAAGGAAGUUGUGCAAGUCUCAAAGUUGCAGAGACAUGA
Syzygium oleosum is the source of this 118-nucleotide small nucleolar RNA. RefSeq annotates it as small nucleolar RNA snoR104. The transcript has a single exon. NCBI's taxonomy places the organism in Eukaryota, Viridiplantae, Streptophyta, Magnoliopsida, Myrtales, Myrtaceae. The record is from RefSeq and is a predicted model, not a curated record.